This 225-nucleotide unclassified non-coding RNA is filed under the name Hevea brasiliensis (rubber tree). The record is from RNAcentral. Lineage: Eukaryota; Viridiplantae; Streptophyta; Magnoliopsida; Malpighiales; Euphorbiaceae.
AACUGUGAUUUACUUGGUUUUCAUACGUUUGAUUAUGCACGUCACUUCCUCUCAUGCUGCAGCAGAAUGUUGGGCUUGGACUAUGAAUCUAAGCGGGGACAUAUUGGACUGGAUUAUUAUGGUCGCACGGUAUAUAUCAAAAUUCUGCCUGUAGGAAUUCACAUGGGUCGGCUGGAAUCAGUGAUGAAUCUUCCAUCUACAUUUGCUAAAGUCAAAGAAAUUCGA